GACGAACGCUGGCGACGUGCCUAAUACAUGCAAGUAGAACGCUGAAGGAGGAGCUUGCUUCUCUGGAUGAGUUGCGAACGGGUGAGUAACGCGUAGGUAACCUGCCUGGUAGCGGGGGAUAACUAUUGGAAACGAUAGCUAAUACCGCAUAAUAGUAGAUGUUGCAUGACAUUUGCUUAAAAGGUGCAAUUGCAUCACUACCAGAUGGACCUGCGUUGUAUUAGCUAGUUGGUGGGGUAACGGCUCACCAAGGCGACGAUACAUAGCCGACCUGAGAGGGUGAUCGGCCACACUGGGACUGAGACACGGCCCAGACUCCUACGGGAGGCAGCAGUAGGGAAUCUUCGGCAAUGGACGGAAGUCUGACCGAGCAACGCCGCGGGAGUGAAGAAGGUUUUCGGAUCGUAAAGCUCGGUUGUAAGAGAAGAACGAGUGUGAGAGUGGAAAGUUCACACUGUGACGGUAUCUUACCAGAAAGGGACGGCUAACUACGUG
RNAcentral lists this ribosomal RNA (495 nucleotides) under uncultured bacterium. RNAcentral's name for it is "partial 16S ribosomal RNA". It matches the Rfam family "Bacterial small subunit ribosomal RNA", at positions 28 to 507 of the family's 1533-position model. The record is from RNAcentral.